Molecule: long non-coding RNA, 371 nt
Organism: Onychostruthus taczanowskii (white-rumped snowfinch)
Lineage: Eukaryota; Metazoa; Chordata; Aves; Passeriformes; Passeridae
Exons: 3
Source: RefSeq, a predicted model, not a curated record
AGGCCUCCCACUGAGCCAGGCCAAGGAGACAGAUCAUCCCAGCAGUCCUGGUCUUAGGAGUGACAAAGAGCUGAGGGACAGCUUUGGAAAGAUCCAUGCUGAAUUGUACAAGUUGGCUGAGGAGAAAGAGCAGAAGAAAAUGGAGCUUUUGGGAAAAGAGAUGAAGAGGAGACAAAAUGAAAAAUCUUUGCAGCUUCCUCCAGAGACAGUUGAGCCUGGGGAUGCAGCUAAAGCAAGCUUUAGCCUACCAUCUAUCAAUGGCACAGCUCCCAGUGUGCAGAGAAAACACCCUGGUGGUGCCAUGAAGAAAACGGUCGUGAGAGAGCAGGACAAGGUGCCCAUUCUGCCCAGUACACCCACCAUCCAUGGAG